UACGUAGGGUCCGAGCGUUGUCCGGAAUUAUUGGGCGUAAAGAGCUCGUAGGCGGCCUAUUGCGUCCGCUGUGAAAUCCCAGGGCUUAACCCUGGGCCUGCAGUGGAUACGGGUAGGCUGGAGGCAGGCAGGGGAGAACGGAAUUCCCGGUGUAGCGGUGAAAAUGCGCAGAUAUCAGGAGGAACACCGGUGGCGAAGGCGGGGUCUCUGGGGCAGUAACUGACGUGGAGGAGCGAAA
RNAcentral lists this ribosomal RNA (238 nucleotides) under uncultured bacterium. RNAcentral describes it as "partial 16S ribosomal RNA". It matches the Rfam family "Bacterial small subunit ribosomal RNA", at positions 524 to 758 of the family's 1533-position model. The record is from RNAcentral.